AGCAGUAGCCGCGGUAAUACGGAGGGUGCAAGCGUUAAUCGGAAUUACUGGGCGUAAAGCGCACGCAGGCGGUCUGACAAGUCAGAUGUGAAAUCCCCGGGCUUAACCUGGGAACUGCAUUUGAAACUGUCAGGCUGGAGUCUUGUAGAGGGGGGUAGAAUUCCAGGUGUAGCGGUGAAAUGCGUAGAGAUCUGGAGGAAUACCGGUGGCGAAGGCGGCCCCCUGGACAAAGACUGACGCUCAGGUGCGAAAGCGUGGGGAGCAAACAGGAUUAGAGACCCCGGUAGUCCUGUCUCUUAUACC
This 303-nucleotide ribosomal RNA is filed under the name uncultured bacterium. RNAcentral describes it as "partial 16S ribosomal RNA". It matches the Rfam family "Bacterial small subunit ribosomal RNA", at positions 507 to 808 of the family's 1533-position model. The record is from RNAcentral.